Molecule: ribosomal RNA, 406 nt
Filed under: uncultured bacterium
Lineage: Bacteria
Description: partial 16S ribosomal RNA
Rfam family: Bacterial small subunit ribosomal RNA
Source: RNAcentral
AUUGAACGCUGGCGGCAGGCCUAACACAUGCAAGUCGAACGAGUGGCGGACGGGUGAGUAAUGUCUGGGAAACUGCCUGAUGGAGGGGGCUAACUACUGGAAACGGUAGCUAAUACCUCAUACCAUCAGAUGUGCCCAGAUGGGAUUAGCUUGUUGGUGGGGUAACGGCUCACCAAGGCGACGAUCCAUAGCUGGUCUGAGAGGAUGACUGGCCACACUGGAACGGAGACACGGUCCAGCCUCCUACGGGGGGAAGAAGUGGGGAAUAUCGCACAAUGGGCGCAAGCCUGAUGCAGACAUACCGGUUGUAGGAGAAAGGCCUGCGGGUGGUAAAGUACUUUCAGCGGGGAGGCGUUACCCGCACAAGAAGCACCGGCUAACUCCGUGCCAGCAGCCGCGGUAAUUC